AACAGAGGGUUCCGACGUCAAGAUGCUGGGAGUCGGGAAAGAGGGCCGAGAUCCGAUCACCGCCUUCGAGAAUUCGGUCCUGCCAACUUCUACCAAAAAUAUAAUGCAUCAUACGGAAAGCUUGUCAAAAUCCACAACGUCAGAUGCUUCUUGGGUCUUGAUGCAUAGUUGAGCAAAUAAAGGGAAAACUAAUCCAGUAAUCCCACCACCGAAGCCGACGCCGAUCGCCGGUGUCGCCACUCCAUCGAACGACCCUACGAGAAACUCUAAGGCAUUGAGAUCGUCGGCGGUGACCGCCGGAGUUUAGGAUGGUGUCGGGGUCGCAGCGAAGGGGCUGAGGCACCGCCGACGCUGGCACUGGAGAAGCGCUUCUCAUUUGCUGCGGACCUUCGCAUACUUACAGUACGGGCACCGCCGGCCGUCCUCCACCCCUCCCCUGAUUCGCCGGUGGAGGAGGGCUUCUCCUCCCCUCCUUUGUCGCCGGUGGAGGAGUCGGCAAAGAGAGGAAAAGAAAGGGGGAGAAAGGGAGAACCAAAGAAGAAAAAGGGCCUCGCUGAGUCGCUGGAACAUUAUGGAGAAACCGAAAAGAAAGGAGAAGAAAAUAAAAAGGAAGAGGAGGAGAAAAUGGGUUAACGAGUUGGCUUCGGGUUAACCGGUUGAGUUCG
This 665-nucleotide long non-coding RNA is filed under the name Phoenix dactylifera (date palm). Its description in RNAcentral is "long non-coding RNA (PDAC_LNC005384)". Lineage: Eukaryota; Viridiplantae; Streptophyta; Magnoliopsida; Arecales; Arecaceae. The record is from RNAcentral.